Molecule: ribosomal RNA, 356 nt
Filed under: Anopheles gambiae (African malaria mosquito)
Lineage: Eukaryota; Metazoa; Arthropoda; Insecta; Diptera; Culicidae
Description: 12S ribosomal RNA
Rfam family: Microsporidia small subunit ribosomal RNA
Source: RNAcentral
UAGAGGAAUCUGUUCUGUAAUUGAUAACCCACGUUGGACCUCACUUAAUUUUGUUUUCAAUUUGUAUAUCGCCGUCAUCAGAAUAUAUUAUAAGAUUAAUAAUUUUCUUGAUAUUUCAUUAAAUAAUAUGUCAGGUCAAGGUGCAGUUUAUGGUUAAGUAGAAAUGGAUUACAAUAAAUAUAUUUAUACGGAUAAUUUUUUGAAAUAAAAAUUUGAAGGUGGAUUUAAUAGUAAUAUAAAAUAGAUUAUUUAUAUGAUUAUAGCUCUAAAACAUGCACACAUCGCCCGUCGCUCUCAUUUUUAAAAUGAGAUAAGUCGUAACAUAGUAGAUGUACUGGAAAGUGUAUCUAGAAUGA